UAAAAAAAUAGGAAUUGAACCUAUAAUUAAGAGAUCAAAACUC
RNAcentral lists this transfer RNA (43 nucleotides) under Eleutherodactylus orientalis. Its description in RNAcentral is "partial tRNA-Gln". Lineage: Eukaryota; Metazoa; Chordata; Amphibia; Anura; Eleutherodactylidae. The record is from RNAcentral.